CCUACGGGAGGCAGCAGUGGGGAAUAUUGGGCAAUGGGCGCAAGCCUGACCCAGCGACGCCGCGUGGGGGAUGAAGGCCUUCGGGUUGUAAACCCCUGUCAGGGGAGACGAAAGUCCUGCGCCUAACAGGUGCAGGAUCUGACGGUACCCCCAAAGGAAGCCCCGGCUAACUCCGUGCCAGCAGCCGCGGUAAUACGGAGGGGGCGAGCGUUAUUCGGAAUUACUGGGCGUAAAGCGCGCGCAGGUGGCGCGGUAAGUGACAGGUGAAAGCCCUCGGCUC
Molecule: ribosomal RNA, 280 nt
Filed under: uncultured bacterium
Lineage: Bacteria
Description: partial 16S ribosomal RNA
Rfam family: Bacterial small subunit ribosomal RNA
Source: RNAcentral